UACGUAGGCAGCGAGCGUUGUUCGGAGUUACUGGGCGUAAAGCGUGCGUAGGCGGCCAACUAAGUCAGACGUGAAAUCCCUCAGCUUAACUGGGGAACUGCGUCUGAUACUGGAUGGCUUGAGUUUGGGAGAGGGAUGCGGAAUUCCAGGUGUAGCGGUGAAAUGCGUAGAUAUCUGGAGGAACACCGGUGGCGAAGGCGGCAUCCUGGACCAACACUGACACUGAUGAGCGAAAGCCAGGGGAGCAAACGGG
RNAcentral lists this ribosomal RNA (253 nucleotides) under uncultured bacterium. RNAcentral describes it as "partial 16S ribosomal RNA". It matches the Rfam family "Bacterial small subunit ribosomal RNA", at positions 524 to 776 of the family's 1533-position model. The record is from RNAcentral.